GCAGCUGAAAACAACAAUCAACAGAAAGAAAAUGAGAAUCAGUUGAUUGUCCAUGGACAUCACGUUCCGUUGGGAACGAGAAAAAACAUUCGUACGGACUCAUGAUGAUGCAAGAUUAUUGCUGAUCAAACACGCGCAGCCCAAAGGGGGAGAGAGAGACACUAGGACAACAACUCACGACCUGAGCGCCCAAAGUGAGCUGGAAUCGACAAUACGUCCCUCAAGUCGUGCG
Long non-coding RNA from Daphnia pulex (common water flea), 232 nucleotides. RefSeq lists it as uncharacterized. The transcript has 3 exons. The record is from RefSeq and is a predicted model, not a curated record. Lineage: Eukaryota; Metazoa; Arthropoda; Branchiopoda; Diplostraca; Daphniidae.